AGCCUGUGGUUGGACCUCCUGGUCCACCAGGCCCCCCAGGACUCCCUGGUCCACAAGGUCCUCCUGGUAUGUUGAAAAAUACAAUAUCUCUCUGGACAACUGCAGUACCAAAAAAUGUGAAUAUCUCAUCACUGUUUUUCAGGUGAAGGUAAACAAGGUCCACCAGGCCCCCAAGGCUCCCCUGGUCAGCCAGGUAAACAUGAAUAUUCUUCUAUAGAAACAAGGAAGAUAAAGAUGUCAGUAACAUGUUGGGUGACUGGAGCCCUUUCAAAUCCACUUAGGUUCAAAAAACUGGUUUGUGACUCUGUUGUGUCCUUGCAGGUGAGGGUGCACCAGGACCUAAAGGAGAUAAGGGAGACCCUGGUAGUUUUGUGCCCACAUCAGGUUAGCAAAAGAAACCUGAUUAUUAGGAGAUUCACAGUAAUUCAUGUCUAAUCACUGUUGGUUUUUGAACCACAAUCUGAUGAAUGCUUGCUUGAUGUGGCUCAGAAAGCUUCUUUGCUGGACCACCAGGACCCCCUGGGCCUGCAGGACCACAAGGUCCACCAGGUACAGGCAACGUUGCAUUGCUGUGGCAUAUGGCAUACUAAGUUGUUUACAGCAUUACAUUUAGCAGCACUCCAAAGUUGAUGAGACAAUUUUCUUCUUUCUAGGUGACACAGGACCACAAGGAUACCAAGGUGAUAAACCAGCUCAAAGGUUCUCAAAUGUUAGCUUUUCGAAAACAGUCAAUAACAACGACGAUGGUUUUCAUAGGUGAACCUGGACAGCCGGGUCUUCCAGGCCUUCAAGGAGAACCAGGUUUCCCAGGACCACCUGGACCUCAAGGGCCACCAGGAGAUGAUAGCUCAUAUGCUCCCGGGCCUCCAGGUCCACCAGGCCCACCUGGUCCGCCUGGAUCUGGAUCAUCUGAUGUGGGACAGUAUCUAACAGAGUACCUUCAAAGUGACGCUCUCAGACAGUACCUGGUAGGUCCUCCUGGGCCUCCUGGACCUCCAGGAGAACCGGGCUCUCCUGGGUCUUCAGAAGAAGGGAUGAUGGAUAAUGUUGCCAGUCGAGUUAUCAGCUACAUUCAGAGUAUGAACAGAACCAAGACACUGCCUUCCUUUUUUGUAAACAAGAUUAUUUAUAAAAAAAAAGAGAACUACAUGUUUAACAGCUGUGUGUUACCAUGUUUACCUUAUUAG
RNAcentral lists this long non-coding RNA (1187 nucleotides) under Oryzias sinensis (Chinese medaka). RNAcentral's name for it is "lncRNA (ENSOSIG00000023625.1)". Lineage: Eukaryota; Metazoa; Chordata; Actinopteri; Beloniformes; Adrianichthyidae. The record is from RNAcentral.